Hippoglossus stenolepis (Pacific halibut) is the source of this 3824-nucleotide long non-coding RNA. RefSeq lists it as uncharacterized. NCBI's taxonomy places the organism in Eukaryota, Metazoa, Chordata, Actinopteri, Pleuronectiformes, Pleuronectidae. The record is from RefSeq and is a predicted model, not a curated record. The transcript has 2 exons.
ACAAAAAUAUAAAUAUUCUGUAUAAUUUUACAAAUUGUUAAGCCCAGAUGCUGAGGUUCAAAUAGCAAUGGACUAGUGCAUCUGAACUUCUAGGGACAACAAAGAACCAACACAACAGCAUAAACAAGUGCAUCUUGUGUCUGCCUAAGAACACUAAUAGACCACAGUAUAACCACUAAAGAAUUCUGUAAAUAUCACUAAACAUGGACCUUUCACUUUCUAAUCAGUAGCAGGAAUGAUACACAAUGCCCCUUAUGAUAACUCAGCAAAAGGAAACAGGUUCUAGGCACACAAAAUAUGAUAGUUUUCCUCUUUUGUUAACAACCUGGACAGUGCUAGUACAGAGAAGAAAAAAUCAGUUUUGCUGCAGGCCAAAUUUCAGACAGAAUAAUAAAGACUGAACUGAACCGAGCUCCUGCAUGAGCAUCUGGAUAAGUCUAAAGGGAAUAAAUGGAUGGGGAAUGUGCUCGCGUUGAUUAAGUCCCUGCCCUUUGUACACACAUCGCUACUACCCAUUGGAUGGUUUAGUGAGGUCCUCGGAUCGGCCCUGCCAGAGUUGGUCACGGCCCUGGCGGAGCGCCGAGAAGACGAUCAAAAUUUCAAACUAUCUAGAGGAAGUAAAACUCUUAACAAAGUUUCUGAAGGUGGGAUCAUUACCGGUACAGCCUGCUCGACCCCGGUCGACCAAGGCAGCCCGACCAACCUCCGGACGCUUAGGGUCUCGCGCUGCCUCCCCGACGGCAAACACGCCGCCGGGCCUGUGCAUCUCCCGAGGCAGGGGGCACGCGAGUGAGCGAGAGAGAGGUGAGCCGUGCGUAAAGGCACGCGUUGCGCCAACCUCCGCUGCUCAAGUAACAAGCCAGUUUUGACAAUAUAAGAAGUAGAAAGUAAAGAAAUUUGCAUUCAAAUGUAUCGAGUAAAAGUAAAAAGUCGUCAGGAAAAUAAAUACUCAAGUAAAGUACAGAUAUGUGAAAAAUCUACUUAAGUACAGUAACGAAGUAUUUGUACUUCGUUACUUCCCACCUCUGCAAGCUAGUCUAUUAGCGAUGGCUGCUCUCUUUUGCUCUUUGUGUCAGAUGUUUGGUUUUUACUCUGCCUCCUUUUAAAGGUUCACAGUAUAGCCUAGGGUUUACAUUGCAAAAAACUGAAUGCCCUUCCCAAGCGUACAGAGAACUCCCUGCAUCAAAAUGUCGAUGGCCACAUUCUCUCAAGUGAUGAGGUAUCUUUAGACUGAUAUAUUUAGAAUGUUAGUCUGUAAACUGCCCAGCUAGCAAAGUUCUAUCGGCCCACAUGUGGCCUAAAUCAUGCGUGGUGAAAUGCAUAGUCUCGUCCAGCCGAGUCGGCCGAGUGCAGACUGAUAUUUCUGGCAUAAGUCCGGCUGGCACAUGCACACACAGACAUCGAAGGGGGCUUGGGCCCCUGCCCUUUUUCUUCCUCGAUAGAAAGUGCCCAUUUAAAAAAAAAAUAAAUGAAUAUUAUAUUCCUGUUUGUGCACUGCCUCCCUGUUAAACAAAUAUAUUGAUUGAAUAAAAAAUUGAAAUAUCAGGUCGGGAGAUUAGACGUCGAAUUUCAAUGCCCGCUCUACCCACCUUCCCUCCACAUCUCCUGCACAGUGGUGAGCACACAGUCAUCGGCAGUCACGUAAGACAGGCAGGCAGCACCUCCCACCUCUCAGCUCCUGUCCCAGUUGGGGUGGUUUUUCUUUGCUUGUGUGGAGGUGAGUGGUGAUGAACAAAGGACUAAGCUACCAGUGCCUCAGUUUACAGAUAAUUAGCCAAAAGACCAAAACAAAUAUAGCUAACUUGUGUCUUGCUAAUGUACACACAUGAGCUACUAACUAAUGUAAUGAGUUAGGGCAUAAGGGCUAAUGUACUGUACUUAAGGGGAGACACUACAGGUGAAUACAGUAAAAUUUGUAUCUAAUGUCAUCACAAUCGCCACCUUGAUAUGCAAAUUUGGCAUUAAUUAAUUAAAAUGCGCAAAUUUCUAUACAUUAGCCAUGGCACUGCAGGUGAAUAGGAUAAAAAACCGCCAAGGUUGAAAUUGGUCAGAUUUGCCAGUCACCGAACUAAAGAGGACAUAAUAAAGACGGCCUGGCAAAAGCAGGGUUUUGUUUUCCAGGAGAAAAGACUAAACUUAGACUGUGAUUUUGCCCCAGACAUUCUCAAAAAAUGCAAAGAAUAUGCAGAGGCAAACAGGGUUCUGAGGGAGAAAAAGAUACAAUUUCAGACACCUUUUCCUGCCAAACAGUGUAUUUUAUCAGGAUGAGACCCGUAUCUACCUCGCAGCAGAGGAGGCAACUAAAGAUAUGGUAACAAGAGGUUUACCUCUAAAUUUGUUCAUGUCACGGCUCAGGCCGUUCCUCUAGUGUUUACCCUUUUCUUUCUGCUCCCCUCCUAUUCACCCUCUCCCCUGUGUGUGUGUGUGUGUGUGUGUGUGAGUGUGUGUGAGUGCGGCAGUCCUGGCACAUGGCGCAAGUCCCACACCUGGUCGCAAUCACCUCAUCAGCUGCCCUACAAGAACCCAGGUCUUCUCUCCACUCAUCGCCAGAUGGUUCCGUCACUUCAGUGGAUCGCCAGAGCCACAAGCCUGCCUUAUUUUCAGCUCACUGGAUCACAGGCUCAGUCUCAGCCGGCACCCAGCUUGUUACCUGCCGGCCUCGGCGCUUCAUUAAAGAGAUUCUUUGUUCACUCACAAACCCAUUCCUAACCCUGGGCGGAGAGGAUCAAGGUCAUAGCUUGGGGCUCAUCUCCCCGGAGGAAAGAGUCUGAUAAAGUCGGGCCACGUUCAGGAUACAAGGAGAAGCUGGAUGUUUUGAGGAGACUCUAAACGACUUUGCCCGACCAGCAGAAGUAAAAUCAUGCUUUUCUGUGUGCAUUACCCGGGCUAGCUCUUGACUAUGAAAGAUGUUGGGACUGAAUUUCCCGAUGGUGAGUUCAAGUGUUUGUGUACUAUGUUCUUUGAAACAAUCAAACUUCUUUCACAUGUAAGAGCGUAUGAGCUGUCUGCUAUCUCUCCUUCAAUUCGGACUCCUAGCUAAGCGUUUUAGAAACUGUUUUUAACAUGUGAAAAUUAGGCUGUAACUAUCAUGUUUUGCCGUUCAUAUCUUCCCAUGGAGGGCUCUGUAGUGGCAGAGGAAUGUUAUCCCUCAGAGCCAUCGUGACAUCACAGCCCAUGUAGGGUCAUAAAUAGGACCCUAGUUCAUAGACUACUUUUUAUGUUUUUCUUCUCAAUAUUAUGUUCCGAGUUCUGAAUCCGUUUGGUUUUCUUUAUGUGUCUGUUUGGCGGGAUGGGAAGGGUCAGCUUAGAGACAGGGCAGAAGGCAUCAACAAAAAAAAAUGACAUAAGGUCUAAUUAAGGUGGUAUCACACGAUGUGAAUGUCAUUCUCAACCCCAUUUAGAGGAGUAAAGUCUUGAGCAAAAUGAAAAGAAAGAAGGAUUGGGGAUGUUUUUCUCCAGGAGACUCACCUCUCAGAACCAGCCCAUGUGAAACCUAAAACAAAGUUUUCUCAGCCUCAUAUAAAUCUGGACCUAGAAGAGGGCUAACAAUUAUGAUAGCAGGAAGGUACUAUUUAGAAGUUGUACAGUUUGAAACCAAAGAUAGGGAGGGGAGAUACAUUAUGGUGGAGGGGAUAGAAGACACAUUUCUGAAUGUCUAUGUGCCACCUGUAGCAAAUUGGUCCAAAGUUGGAUUCUUCACAGGGGGUCAACUCACAAAGCAACUCUAUAGAAAAAUAAACCGUAUAAUCCAAAACUCAGGUAUAAUUGAUGUGUGGAGAGAAUUUCACCCCUCAUUAAAAGACGUUCCUUUUUUCUGCUCCGCA